ACGGACCAAGGAGUCUAGCAUGUGUGCGAGUCAUUGAGUUUUAUAAAUUUUUAACAUUAAACUGAAAGGCGUAACGAAAGUGAAGCGAACGCUCGACGUUCGCUCAGGGAGGAUGAAAUUAUCGAGCUACGUUCGUGAUUUUCGCACUCCCGAGGCGUCUCGUUUCCAAUCAGUGAAUGAAGGCGCGCUCUGAGCACAAAUGCUGGGA
RNAcentral lists this ribosomal RNA (208 nucleotides) under Bombyx mori (domestic silkworm). RNAcentral's name for it is "partial ribosomal RNA". It matches the Rfam family "Eukaryotic large subunit ribosomal RNA", at positions 661 to 814 of the family's 3401-position model. The record is from RNAcentral. Lineage: Eukaryota; Metazoa; Arthropoda; Insecta; Lepidoptera; Bombycidae.